RNAcentral lists this ribosomal RNA (407 nucleotides) under uncultured bacterium. RNAcentral's name for it is "partial 16S ribosomal RNA". It matches the Rfam family "Bacterial small subunit ribosomal RNA", at positions 30 to 526 of the family's 1533-position model. The record is from RNAcentral.
AUUGAACGCUGGCGGCAGGCCUAACACAUGCAAGUCGAGCGGAGCGGCGGACGGGUGAGUAAUGCCUAGGAAUCUGCCUGGUAGUGGGGGAUAACGUCCGGAAACGGGCGCUAAUACCGCAUACUAUCAGAUGAGCCUAGGUCGGAUUAGCUAGUUGGUGGGUUAAAGGCCUACCAAGGCGACGAUCCGUAACUGGUCUGAGAGGAUGAUCAGUCACACGGGAACGUGGACACGGAGCAGACUCUGACGGGAGGCAGCAGUGGGGAAUAUUGGGCAAGUGGCGAAAGCCUUGUCCAGUCAUGCCGCGUGUGUGAAGAAGGUCUUCGGAUUGUAAAGCACUUGAAGUUGGGAGGCGUUACCAACAGAAUAAGCACCGGCUAACUUCGUGCCAGCAGCCGCGGUAAUUC